UAAAAACGUUGCAGCUGACUACGCAUGACCUUUCUGCGAGGAACUUGAAACAUUGUACUAACAAAUUUGCAACAUUGUUUAAAAUAUUAAAGUAUUCUGGAGUUUCAUGAGCCAGUGAGCUCUGGACAGGCACAGCUGUAGGCUAUUUGCGCAAGGGAUAAUAAGUAAUCAGGUAGGCCUAUUUUAUGACGUUUCCACCGGAUCAGAGCAUGACAUUUUUUUUCUCCCUUUCUCACUGAGUGAUUAUCAAAAGGGAGAGAGCUGGAAAUAUUUUUCAAGUAUGCGAAAUUAAGGAACUAUUGUCAUUCUCAGUGGAUAUAAAAACAGACUUCCUUUACUUGCUGUUUUGAGGUGAAGAAAAAAUGACUUAGAAGCUCCACAGCUCAUUAGUGGUGGUGAGUUAAGACGAUCAGAAAUACUAUCAGAUCCCCAAAUGGGCACAUUUAUAAGCCUACAUUUGCAUGCAGGCCCAGCAGCCAAGGCUCACUUCUAUACGUAAUCGGGUGCGUAUCCUUCCUCAACAUUGACAGUAGCGCUCCAAACAGUGAAAAAAUUGACAACUCGUAAAUGGAAUGAAAUAAACCAAAACUUGUUUCUCACAAUUGUAGCCUCUGCAAACAGCGUGUCCACCCUGACAAUGAGAACUGUAAAAGACUAUAGUAAUAAUAAUAUUGAAUGCAUUAACAGAAAUUACGGUAACCAAACAAACAUUGUAGAUUCGAAAUGAUGGCAAUUAACAGUAAAUGUACUAGUGGUGAUACUGGUAUGCCAUCUCCAUGGCCUCCGCAACGGAAUGGUCCACUGAAACAGGCGUCAAUCAAGACGUGCCAUAAAAAAAAAAGAUUUUUGCAACUGUUCGACUAAAAAAUUCUCAGUCCACCAACAGCCUAUCGACCAGUCGACUAAAUGGGGUCAGCCCUAGUACGCACACACAAACACACACAAGUGUGUCCUUUUCUGUCUCUAGGUCCACCAACAGAACUCGCUCCCCCACCAGAGGACAUCAGGCCAGUGGCAGAACCCAAUGAGAGGUCUAAUCAGCAACACUGGUUCGCAGACGCACAGCGGCCACACAGCAGUUCACCUGUCUAGUAUGCCCACCCCGCUGCGUCUGGGAGGCUGGACGGAGGAACAGGAGGAGGAGGAAGAGGAAGUCCUCAACAGGGGAUCGACUCCUAAACAGGACUCCAGGAGUAGUUGUUAAAGUGCCUUAAAUAAAGGGUGUUUACACUCCUUUCUCGAUGAACAGUGUGGCCUUAGAUGAUCCUUUUUGGAGAGUAUUAUGACAUCACGUAACACAACAAGGCAGUUGGGAGAGCUCAUUGGAUAACCAUUGUCUCAGUCUCCACCCCACUACCAUGCCUCUCCUAUCACAUCAGGAGUUGUUGUGGCAUCAGGGAAACUGACCUGUCUUCCAUCCCUAUCGCCAUGUCAUAAUUUUGUUAUAAAAUGUAUAAAUAUCGCUCAUAGAGGACUGGAGUCUAUAUGUGUGUGUGUUUGUGUGAGUGUGAAAGAGCGUUGUGUGUGUGUUUAGAACUCGGGGAAAGGGUGGCAUGCACAGCCAGGACACUUGCAGGGCAGGCUUGAGCAUGGUACAUAGCAACACCUGUCACACUUUUGUUGCGUUUCUUCAUGUGUUUAUUUUAUUAACGUUUUAUUUGUGCAUCUGGGAGGUUUACAAUGUGGGUCUGGGUUCACUUUCUCAUGGUGGAAAUGGUGUCUUAUCUGGUGCUGAAGAGAGUAUGGAGUGAAGGUCUAUCAUACUAGCUGCCUGACCAUUUUCACUAUAUGAGGAAAGUUGAGUACAAAAUUAUACAUUGGCGUAUUUGGCCAUUACUUAUUAUUGCUUGACAUUUGUAAAUACACUUUAGCGUCUUACCUCUAUAUGUUCUGGCAGUUUUAAUGAUUGGGAAAGAUGCGAAGUAAUGCAGUGACAUGAAGUAGGCUGCAACUAUACUACUUAGGUCACCAUUAGGACCCAACAAGAAAAUCUGACAAAAGCCUCCAGAUGGACUAGAUUCAUUAACCACGUUUCUAAACUGGACAUAAUCUCAUUGAAAGCUGCUGUCUAUGACUUUAAUGGGCUUAAUACCAUGUUUUCUUCAGUAUUAAGUUAUUUAUCUUCUUUUUAAAGUCCUUGGGGACCCUUAAAACAGUAUUUAACAGGUAAUAACUUGAUUAUUCUGUAUCAAAGGAUCACCAAUGUUCUGUCUCCACUGGCAACAGAGAUGUGUUACUUGACAAAUGCACGAAGAUCAAGAUGACAUAUUUGCCCAGGCAGUAACUACAUUGUUGUGGGUAGCUAUGAGAAUAGGCAAUGCAGAGUCGCAUAUCAUGUACAGUAAAUCAUUAAGUGUUGUUGAUUUUGCAUGUACUGCUCAACAUUUUGUUCACGGAACACUUCCCCCCCAAUGUACACAGAAGAAGUGAACUUUUUAUUAUACGGGCUGUUCCUAAAAUUGUCAUUACAGCAGUUGGAGUUUGUGGUUUUACUUUAUUUGUAAGUUAAUCCUAUGUCAGUAUUUUACUUUUCUCAGAGAACAGCCUAAGAUGUCAUUUUAAAUAAGAUAAUUCUCCCUUUGUUGUCCCAAAUAUUUAAACUGUCCAGAUUUCUGAGAUAUGACCUAUAAUGAAUUAUUUAAUUAAUUACAAUAUGAGUGAAAUAGUAAUUAUGUUAAGAAGCAGCUUUUCUUUGUUGGUGGUAUGGGUGAACCCCAACAACAGAAUGUUUUGGGUGUAUACCGGUCAUGCAAAUAGAGAGCUGAUUGGCCAGCUCAGCCAAUGAGCCAACGCGAUAUCGUAUUAUAUGACAAAAUUGCAAGCAUUUUUUUAAUAGUCUGGUUGAGAUACAAGUUUGAUGUGGGUUUUUUGAAGUCCUUUUUUUUUCUCUUCAAUUUAUGUUUUGUACACAAAUACAAGUAUAGGACGAGUCAGCA
RNAcentral lists this long non-coding RNA (2936 nucleotides) under Salmo salar (Atlantic salmon). RNAcentral's name for it is "lncRNA (ENSSSAG00000088444.1, ENSSSAG00000119966.1, ENSSSAG00075034302.1)". The record is from RNAcentral. Lineage: Eukaryota; Metazoa; Chordata; Actinopteri; Salmoniformes; Salmonidae.